AGGUCCAGGUGUUAGCGGCAGCACUCCGGUCUCUUAAACCGGAUGUGAGGGUUCAAGUCCCUCGGGCCU
This 69-nucleotide transfer RNA is filed under the name Fimbriiglobus ruber. It matches the Rfam family "tRNA". Rfam says of the family: Transfer RNA (tRNA) molecules are approximately 80 nucleotides in length. Their secondary structure includes four short double-helical elements and three loops (D, anti-codon, and T loops). The record is from Rfam by way of RNAcentral. Lineage: Bacteria; Pseudomonadati; Planctomycetota; Planctomycetia; Gemmatales; Gemmataceae.